GUAGGGAAUAUUGGGCAAUGGAUGCAAGUCUGACCCAGCCAUCCCGCGUGCCGGAAGAAGGCCCUCAGGGUUGUAAACGGCUUUUGACGGUGAAGAAUCGACAGGAUGCGUCCUGUUUUGACGGUAGCCGUUCAAUAAGCACCGGCUAACUCCGUGCCAGCAGCCGCGGUAAUACGGAGGGUGCGAGCGUUGUCCGGAUUUAUUGGGUUUAAAGGGUGCGUAGGCUGGAAGGUCAGUCAGCGGUGAAAAGCUGUCGCUUAACGAUAGUCUUGCCGCAGAUACUUCCUUUCUUGGAUGAGGAGGAGGCCACUGGAACGGAUGGUGUAGCGGUGAAAUGCAUAGAUAUCAUCCAGAACACCGAUUGCGAAGGCAGGUGGCUGUACCUUAAUCGACGCUGAUGCACGAAAGCAUGGGGAGCAAACAGGAUUAGAUACCCUAGUAGUCC
This 445-nucleotide ribosomal RNA is filed under the name uncultured bacterium. Its description in RNAcentral is "partial 16S ribosomal RNA". It matches the Rfam family "Bacterial small subunit ribosomal RNA", at positions 354 to 796 of the family's 1533-position model. The record is from RNAcentral.